CCAAGAGCGCCGCGGCCGGCUUCGUUGUUCCAGAACUCUCUAUGGGUACUCUGGUGUGCGGCGUAGUCGUUUUGUUUUGGACGGGCGUUGGUGCCACGCUGCUUUGAGCGAAGUAAACGAACUAUGAGUCUUCACAUGGCNCUUUUUCUUUUGAGACAUAUUUAGACAAUGAUGAGCCUUCUUUUGGGAUGAAUCACCGGCG
This 202-nucleotide unclassified non-coding RNA is filed under the name Hevea brasiliensis (rubber tree). Lineage: Eukaryota; Viridiplantae; Streptophyta; Magnoliopsida; Malpighiales; Euphorbiaceae. The record is from RNAcentral.